UGUUUUGGGGGACUUAUAUGAGGUUGCCUCUAUUCUAGAAAGAAACCGAAUAGGAGGAGGACACCGAGAAAUAAACAAGGAUAGAAAAAAAAAAGUCCUUUGCCUUACUGGCGUUUUUGUGCAUGUGAUUUACUAAAAGCUAAGAAAAAUCCUAUCUUGGAUCAAUCGAAGGGAAGAAAAGGAAAAAAAAAUCUGAGAUGGGUUUCAUGGAAUACGUGAAAUCAAUAGAAUGGGAACAUGAAUCUUAUCCAGGUUAUGAAGAUUGCAUUGUCCUUCCUCUUUUUGCUCUCUUUUUCCCCUUUGUUCGAUUCUUUCUUGACAGAUUUGUCUUCCAGAAAGUAGCACAAGACUUGAUUUUUGGAAAGGAGCAUCAGACGCUGGAUGUUCAAUCAGAUGAGAGAAGGAAGAAGAUAAGAAAAUUCAAGGAGUCAGCUUGGAAAUGCAUAUAUUUUCUUUCAUCUGAAAUUCUUGUUUUGUGUGUUACUUAUGAUGAGCCUUGGUUAGUUAAUACAAAAUAUUUUUGGGUAGGGCCAGGAAGCCAGGCCUGGCCAGACCAAAAAAUGAAGUUAAAAUUGAAAGCAGUAUAUAUGUAUGCUGCUGGAUUUUAUACUUACUCCAUAUUUGCUCUGAUUUUUUGGGAGACAAGGCGCUCGGAUUUUGGUGUGUCUAUGAGUCAUCAUGUCGCCACUGUCAUUCUUAUUGUGCUGUCCUACAUAUUAAGGUUUGGCCGUGUUGGCUCAGUUGUUUUAGCUAUUCAUGAUGCUAGUGAUGUAUUUUUGGAGGUGGGAAAGAUGUCCAAAUACAGCGGCGCAGAAGGGGUUGCUAGCUUUGCAUUUAUUCUUUUUGUUUUGUCUUGGAUCUUGCUGCGGCUCAUUUACUAUCCAUUCUGGGUGCUUUGGAGUACAAGCUAUGAAGUUCUCCUGAUCUUGGACAAGGAAAAACACCCGGUGGAUGGUCCAAUCUAUUAUUAUGUGUUCAAUACUCUCCUUUACUGCUUACUUUUUCUUCAUGUAUAUUGGUGGGUCUUGAUAUAUCAGAUGCUUGCUAAGCAAAUCCAAGCAAGGGGUCAUCUUAGUGAUGAUGUUCGAUCUGGUAUGGAAGAAAAACAUGUCGAUUGCAUGGUUUUGUAUUAUAAUGUGUGUAUGUCUAUAGUUGCACCAUAAAAAUGGGAAUGAGGAAACACAUUUAAUGUAAUUUUUUGGCGAGGAAUAUAUUAUCCAGCAUGAGAAUUUGGCCAAGAAAAUUCAGAGCCCAUGUCACUAAUCAAUGAUGUGUAGGACUUUGCAAAUCAUUUUAGGAUGACCUAUUUUAAGGAAAUUUUUUAUUUUACUUUUCUACUUGGCCUCUUUAUUUUGGUGGUUUGUCUUGAAUUGCUUCUCCCACCAUCAUGCAGAUUCUGAGGGCGAAGAUGAACAUGAAGAUUGAUCAAACAGUAAACCAGUGAUACUUAGAAAUAGUCUGAUGAAGCACAACCGUGGUUUCAUAUGCUGGAGUUCUUUUCCAGAGAUGGAACGUGAUAAAUAAAAAAUUUCUCCCAAUCAAGGGUCUGUAUAGAUUUGAGAUUAGAUGUCAAAGCAGAAGGGAAAUAUAGGGUAGGAAAAUAGUUUCGAUUAUUCAUUUGCCACCUCUGAUUUGAUUUUUCUCGCCAAUGAUUUAUUGUAAGAGAACUUGCUGCAAUUUCAUACCGGUGGUGCCAUGGCUGCAAGACUCGAGCCUGCUGCCAUUUUUCAA
RNA transcript from Populus trichocarpa (black cottonwood), 1731 nucleotides. It is a transcript of the gene named ceramide synthase 1 LOH3, with no coding region annotated. The record is from RefSeq and is a predicted model, not a curated record. The transcript has 6 exons. Lineage: Eukaryota; Viridiplantae; Streptophyta; Magnoliopsida; Malpighiales; Salicaceae.